UACGAUAGGGGUUAGUAUUACCCCUAUCGUAGCAAUGUAGCAGUAGCA
This 48-nucleotide non-coding RNA is filed under the name unclassified sequences. RNAcentral's name for it is "ssNA-helicase RNA". It matches the Rfam family "ssNA-helicase RNA". Rfam says of the family: Firmicutes, Actinobacteria (1 example). Downstream gene The record is from Rfam by way of RNAcentral.